RNAcentral lists this long non-coding RNA (251 nucleotides) under Gossypium barbadense (sea-island cotton). RNAcentral's name for it is "long non-coding RNA (GBAR_LNC005258)". The record is from RNAcentral. Lineage: Eukaryota; Viridiplantae; Streptophyta; Magnoliopsida; Malvales; Malvaceae.
AAAAGUACCAUUUUGCCCCUAAACUUUUAAUUAAUUCCAAUUUUAUCCCUAGGCUCGUAAAUUAGAAUUCAUGCAAUUUACUCCUUAAUCCAAGUGUAUUCAAGAUUUCAAUAUAACGUUUACAGCACAUGUAUUUCAUAAAUUUCAAAAUUUUUCCAAGAAUUUUACUACUUUGCAAUUUAGUCCCUACACAUGCUUUCACUAAAAAUCACUUUGUAAAAGUGAUUGCUCUAUCAAUAACCUUUCAUUUC